AUGAUUACUGUGCUAUGCAACUUCCAUUCGCGAGGGGGGGCUAUGUUUACACAUCAUACCAUGGGUUUCAUGAAUCACCAUAUCCAGAGAUUCGUCGACACAGCUUGUUGCCAGAAUUAUCGAUGCAAGUCGAAGAAGGAUUGGCCGGUGCUGCCGGCUGGCUUCAAGUUCGAUCCCACGGAUCAGGAGCUGAUCGAGCACCUUGAGGCCAAAGUGAGUGCUGACAGCGCGAGAUUUCAGUCUCUCAUCGAUUUGUUCAUACCAACCAUCGACAGCGAGCACAGCAUAUGCUACACCCAACCUGAGAAACUUCCAGGUAUCACACUGAGUGGCCUAAGGAAGCAAUUCUUCCAGCGCAAUUCCAGGGCGUUCAAAAGGGGCACGUGGAUGCUUCGCAAGAUACAGUCGGAGUGCGGCAUGCACGCGAUGUGGCACAAGACCGGCAAUACCUUGCCGGUGAUGGUCAACGGCCGGCAGACGGGCAGCAAAAAAGGUUCUCGUGUUGCACACCAACAAGAACUUCGACCAGCAGAGGACCAACUGGGUGAUGCACCAGUACCACCUCAGGGACCUGCAGCAAGAGAAGGAGCGGGAACUGGUCCUCUACAAGAUUUUCUACCAGACGAACACUAG
Molecule: ribosomal RNA, 633 nt
Filed under: Triticum aestivum (bread wheat)
Lineage: Eukaryota; Viridiplantae; Streptophyta; Magnoliopsida; Poales; Poaceae
Description: partial small subunit ribosomal RNA
Source: RNAcentral